RNAcentral lists this transfer RNA (73 nucleotides) under Deltaproteobacteria bacterium. RNAcentral's name for it is "tRNA-Lys". It matches the Rfam family "tRNA". From Rfam's summary of the family: Transfer RNA (tRNA) molecules are approximately 80 nucleotides in length. Their secondary structure includes four short double-helical elements and three loops (D, anti-codon, and T loops). Lineage: Bacteria; Pseudomonadati; Myxococcota; Myxococcia. RNAcentral also lists the same sequence under 1 other name. The record is from RNAcentral.
GGGCCGCUAGCUCAGUCGGUAGAGCAGCUGACUCUUAAUCAGCGGGUCCGGAGUUCGACUCUCCGGCGGCCCA